GACGAACGCUGGCGGCGUGCCUAAUACAUGCAAGUCGAACGCAGUGGGGACGGGUGAGUAACACGUGGGUAACCUCCCAUCAGAGGGGAUAACACUUGGAAACAGGUGCUAAACCGAUACUGAUGGAUGGACCCGCGGUGCAUUAGCUAGUUGGUGAGGUAACGGCUCACCAAGGCCACGAUGCAUAGCGGACCGGAGAGGGGGAUCGGACACGCUGGGACGGAGACACGGCCCAGACUCCUACGGGAGGCAGCAGUAGGGAAUCGUCAGCAAUGGACGAAAGUCUGACCGAGCAACGCCGCGUGAGGGAAGAAGUUGUUCGGACCGUAAAACUCUGUUGUUGGAGAAGCGGGAUCUGACCAGAAAGCCACGGCUAACUACGUGCCAGCCGCCGCGGUAAUUC
RNAcentral lists this ribosomal RNA (403 nucleotides) under uncultured bacterium. Its description in RNAcentral is "partial 16S ribosomal RNA". It matches the Rfam family "Bacterial small subunit ribosomal RNA", at positions 28 to 526 of the family's 1533-position model. The record is from RNAcentral.